Molecule: ribosomal RNA, 500 nt
Filed under: uncultured bacterium
Lineage: Bacteria
Description: partial 16S ribosomal RNA
Rfam family: Bacterial small subunit ribosomal RNA
Source: RNAcentral
AUUGAACGCUGGCGGAAUGCUUUACACAUGCAAGUCGAACGGCAGCACGGACUUCGGUCUGGUGGCGAGUGGCGAACGGGUGAGUAACAUAUCGGAACGUAUCCAAUAAUGGGGGAUGACGAGUCGAAAGAUUCGCUAAUACCGCAUACGCACUACGGGGGAAAGCUGGGGACCUUCGGGCCUGGCGUUAAUGGAGCGGCCGAUAUCUGAUUAGCUAGUUGGUGCGGUAAAGGCUAACCAAGGCGACGAUCAGUAGCUGGUCUGAGAGGACGACCAGCCACACUGGAACUGAGACACGGUCCAGACUCCUACGGGAGGCAGCAGUGGGGAAUUUUGGACAAUGGGCGCAAGCCUGAUCCAGCCAUUCCGCGUGAGUGAAGAAGGCCUUCGGGUUGUAAAGCUCUUCCGCAAGGGAAGAAAACUUAGCCACUAACAUUGGUUGAGGUUGACGGUACCUUGAUAAGAAGCACCGGCUAACUACGUGCCAGCCGCCGCAGUAA